AUUUUCCAAUUGUUGUUUAAUUUUCUAUCUAUAUUUAUAUGCAUAAAACUUUUUCAUAAGAAACGAAUGUCAACAGAUGGAUGAAAUAAUUUUGAGGGCCAGAUUAAGGCCCGCGGGCUGUAGUUUGGGACUAUGUACUAAUAUAUAGUAUAAUAAGUUAAUUAAAAUUCUACAUACGUAUGUAUCGGAAAGGGGACAAGAUGGCGACUGUUCCGAGCCUUACGAUUUUAGGGGUUUCAGUUUAUAACACAAUAUGUUAGAAAAAAUACAUUUGUAUAUUUUUAUACUGUUGAGGCUUCAGUGUUUAUCCAAAUUUGAAGUUUUUUUUAUCAACGUGUGUGGUUUUCUCCUGCACUUGCCACUGAUUUUAGGGGCCAAUUUUUUUUUGAGAGUCUCAAAAGUAUCAGUUGUCCCGGGCCUCCCAUUUUCUCUGAAAGUCUCUAUAUGUACGUAUAUAUACAUACAUACAUACAUACACACACAGUUAUACUGGUAUUUUUCUGUUGAAAAUAAUAAUGUUUUAUUUUAAUUUUUCUACGAUUAAUCUCGACAUUUCCGUUC
RNAcentral lists this long non-coding RNA (561 nucleotides) under Androctonus crassicauda. Lineage: Eukaryota; Metazoa; Arthropoda; Arachnida; Scorpiones; Buthidae. The record is from RNAcentral.